Oryctolagus cuniculus (rabbit) is the source of this 4485-nucleotide non-coding RNA. The record is from RefSeq and is a predicted model, not a curated record. NCBI's taxonomy places the organism in Eukaryota, Metazoa, Chordata, Mammalia, Lagomorpha, Leporidae.
CAGUAAGAGAGAGAGAGAGAAAGGUCUUCCUUCCUCUGGUUCACCACCCCCCCAAAUGGCUGCUACGGCCGGCGCUACACUGAUCUGAAGCUAGGAGUCAGGUGCUUCCUCCUGGUCUCCCAUGGGGUGCAGGGCCCAAGUACUUGGGCCAUCCUCCACUGCCCUCCCGGGCUACAGCAAAGAGCUGGACUGGAAGAGGAGUAGCCGGAACUAGAACCCGGCGCCCAUAUGGGAUGCCAGCACCGCAGGCAGAGGAUUAACCAAGUGAGCCACAGUGCCGGCCCCAAGCUGCUCUUGGUCUUUAACGUGGGCAUAUUGGUGCUAUGAAGUUUCCUUUCAGCACGGCUUUGGCUGCCUCUCAUGAGUUUCAGUUUGUUGUACUGGUGUUUCCAUUUGGCUUGGUAUUGCGUUGUUAUGUCCCUUGAGACAGUCCUUUUGACCCAGCCUGUUUAGAAGUGUGUUUUAAUUUUGUAAAAUGUUAUUUGAAAGGCAGAGAGACAGAGAUACACACAGACAAGAUCUUCUAGCCAAUGGUUCACUCCCCAAAUGCCCACAACACCCAGGCCAGGGCCAGGCUGAGACCUGGGGCGGAUCUCUCACGUGAGUGGCAGACGGCCAAGCACGUGGGCCAUCGCCGCCCUCUGCCAGGUGCAGGUUAGCAGAGAGCUGGAACGGAGCAGGGCACGCUGAUAAGGAUGUAGGGGUCUCAGGCGAAGUCCUGACUCCUGGGCCACACGCCUGCCUCUGUGCUGUGUUCACUCCUACGUGUCUGGAAAACUUUGGGGCUCUCUUUCUGUUAGUGAUUUCAACUUUUUUAUCCCGGUCAAUGUAAAUUCGUUCACAUGUGCUGAGGUUUGCUCUGUCACCCAAAGGACGCCCACUGUGGCCCAGGUUCCACGGGCCCCAGCAUAGGCAGUGCCGGAGUGGCUUGCUAGCUCUGCACGUGGCCACGUGGGCUGGCGGCGGCGUCAGUCCGCCCGCCUCCUCCCUGAGUUUGUGUCUGGCAGCUGUGCUAGUCCUCAGCUCCCACUCUGGGUCUGUCUGUUUCUCCUUUCUGGUCUCCCAUAUUUUGUUUCCACUCCACACCCUCCACUCAGGGACGGAGCAGUGAGCCUGGGCACCGUAGGGUGAGUGUGGAUCGUGGCGCCUCUCGGGGGGCGCAGGAGCCCCUGGGGUGGGGACGGCCGGUCCUCCCCGCUCUGCAACUUGGCCCGCGUCACUCAGCCUGCCUGAGCCUCCAUUUCUGUCUCCAGAACGGUGACUGAGAGCAGAUGAAGCGCAAGGGUUUGGUUCCAAAGCUGUUACGAGCACCGCCUAUGUGCAGGAUGCUGAGGCACUGGGGUGUACCGAUGCCGACAGCCUGGUGCGUGGAACCUCAGCCUCUUACUAAAGGCUGGCGAAGUGAACUCCACCACGAGACGGAAAUCGCCCUUCUCCCUGCUCUGCGGACUGGAAGGUGACUCGCCCACCACACCACCGCCAGAGCCGGCAAAGCCGGAGGCCAGUCCAAGCUGGUGCUAAUGCUCCCAGCCGGAGAACCCGGGCUCCUCUCGCUUAUGGUUCUACGGCACGGUGGACGUGGGGUUCAGAGCCCCCCAUGAGAAAGACACAGACACUCUGCCUGCGUCCCAGUCGGAGCCCUCCCCUCCCCUCCGUUCUCCACUGGGCUCCAUGUCAGGCUGCCCAGGUGAGCUACCUGGGCGCGUCUCCCCGGAAAGAGGGGCCAGUGUGAUGGACAUGGCACGGCAGUCCCAAAGGGACAGCUCCCCCCGCCCCCGUCCCAGCCCUCCCCGGUCCCCGCGGUGUCACCUUCGCCGAGUCCUCCAGCGCCUUCCUGCUGCGUCUCUUCACCCCACCGAGGCUUCAGCCAAGAGUGAAAAGUCCGUUUAAUCUCAACUGCCAACUCAGAGUUGAUUGGUGAAGGCUGGCAGGUGCCCCCAGAAAGAUUCCAAGGCUCUCGGCAGUUAGAAUGCGGUGCUCGGCUAGUGCUGCCUGCCCUGGGGGGUGGGGGUGGAGAUGAGUGCAGUUCACUCACAGGAUGGGAAGCUGCAGAUGCAAAGCUUGGAGCAAGAGGCAGCAGUGACAGCUGCAGUCACCGAGGUACUGGGCUGAGAACAAGGGCGACAGUGCUUCCUGGGAGUGGAGACAAUGAGAGUAGGCACAUAAUAAAUGCUUGAAGACUGAUGGACUGAACAGGUAAACCAGACAUGGAGUAGACGGGUGGUUUCCUGAGGCAUUUUAGGAGCCCCAACAAGACUGCAGCAGGUGCGUCCCCAGGACCUGACGAGCCUCCUGGCGCCCUCCCCAUCCGAGAGGAGCCCUUGCCCCUGGGGGGUGGGGUUAUGCAAGGGAAAGCGCCAGGGGCUGGGGUCUACCUCCCCUUGAGCCCUGACGUGCUCAGAACCACACAGCUGCCUCUCAGAAGGGACCCCUCGGAGGCCGGCAUUGUGGUCCUGGUGCACAGGCCAGGGUGGCAGAGGUGCUGGGCUCUGGAAUCGGUGUAACCACAGCAGAAGGUGAGGUCCGGGGCGGCCGGCAAGUCCCUGCGCUUCCCGGCUUCCCAGUGCAGUCCACGCCGAGCGCCUGGAGCGCCUCUUCCUCUCCCACGUUGGAGCUGAUUUCCUGGACUCCACUCCCAAGUCUGUCUGGAACCCAGCCCACAACACACUUCUGAAAAUGUCUCAUGUUUUGCUAUGGGGGGAGAGCGCUUGCAUAAUUGGCCAAUGGGCCAGCCCGGCCUGCCCCAGGCAUCCUGCUCCCCAGCUCCUGGACAGGGUCCGGGUACGCCAGGACCAUGAAGACAGGUGACUGCGAAUGCAAUAGGGCUCUUGCCUCGGCCCCAGCCUGAGGCUGAGCUGUGUCCUUGGAUGGUGCUCCAGCGCCCAGUGUACGGGGGAUACCCUGGAGCUUGUCAAAGGGAAGAUGCUCUGCUAAUUCGGGCAGGCGACGCUGCCCCUCACUUUCCUCAUCUGUAAAAUGGGGGUAAGGCCAGUGACUCUGCUGAACUUUCUGGAACCAGGCGGAUGGCUCCGAGGGGUGAGUGGGGCCAGUCAAGUUGAGGCUGAAGGCAGUGCUCAAGGGCUUCAGCUCACGGAGCUCCAAGUUCAAAGGCAUCUGGAUUCUGGGUUGAGGGGCAGUGAUCUCCCUAACCACAGCAGAAGUCACAGCUCUGGGUGAGAAGCUCGGCACACGGUGAGCCCAGCUCCCCAGACCCCGAGGCUCCCUGGGGGCACCCCCGGGAGCGGACUCCACUUGAGGUCAGCAAGGCUGUACCUCUGGCUUGGAUCAGCCAGCUUCCUGGAAUGCCGAGGCCAGCGAGGACCGCAGCCUUCAGCCAGCCCACCUUGGUUUCCAGAAGACCCUGACAGCCUGGAUGCACAGCAGGACGAUGGCAGCCCACCUGGGACAUCAGGACCCUGCCCAUGGGAUCUUUCAGGAAGCCAAAUCAGCAGCCCAGAAGCAACGAGCCCAGAACAGCCAGAACCUGGUUGGGCACAGCUGGCUCCCUCCUUGUCUGUACCCGCUUCCAGCUCAGCACCAACCAGAGAAGUCCCAGGUCCCCAACCCUCACAAAAGAUGGCAGGAUCGGGCAGAGCCCUAGCUGCCCCAGGCCAGCACUGUCACCCAGGGCACACCGAGAGCCUCCCUUUCCUUCCUCACACCCCCCCUGCCUCUGACCGCCUCCACCUGCAGGUGGCCGCGGUCACUCCCUUGCACCGGCCACUUUUGCUCUCCUGUGAGUGUGAUUAUUUCCACAACUCAGGGACCCAGAAAGGGCCCAGGAAGGAUUCGAGGUCACGUUGAGGCAGGGAGGUAGAAGCCAGCUCCCUCAGGUUCAUUUCCCUGCCUCGCUCUCCCCUUCCAGGAAAAACCGACUGCUUCCUCUCUCUCGAGGUGCCUUCCCUGUGUGCACUGGUGCUACUUCAAGAAGAGGAGCCUUGGGAGUGACCUGGAUUUAGCAUCUCUCUUCCAAUGAAGAGAAGAAAGCCGAGGGACCAUGGACAGUGUCAGGGACUUGCUCCAAAGACGCAUGGCGGCUUGCUCUUGGCUUUCUUGGGUCACUCACUAGUUAGGAAGCCAGCUGCCAGGCUGUGAGGCCACACAGGCACCCCGAGGAGAGGCCCAUGUGAUGACGCACUGAGAGGACUCGCCAGGAGCCAGGGAAGAACUGAGGUCUCCCACUGACAGCCACGUGAGCAAGUCGCCCUGGCAGCAGCUCCCCUGGCCCCUGUCAACAUCUCAGCUGCAGCCUUGUGAGAGACCCUGGCCCAAGACUUCCUGGGUCAAACCCCUCCAGGUUCCUGACCCACCGGACCUGGGGGAGGUAACAGAUGUCUGUUGUUCCAAGCUGCAUGGUUAGCAAUGCAACACAAGUUGGUGCUUUUUGGUCUGAGAUUCAUCGUAUCCAAUUAGGAGCGCUGAGAAUAAAGCACCAGUGACUCAGGACUCAGUGAUGUUUCAUGGAGAGAUGAGUGAAUGGAUGGA